Molecule: non-coding RNA, 475 nt
Organism: Zootermopsis nevadensis
Lineage: Eukaryota; Metazoa; Arthropoda; Insecta; Blattodea; Termopsidae
Source: RefSeq, a predicted model, not a curated record
GUGCAGUCCCCGCUCAUUGCGUUCUGUACAUCGCAAACCAGGCAUCUACAGUCACAGACAACGCAUGGUCGACGAGGGCGCACAUAAAAAAGUAAACAAUCGGUGUGUUUGUCACCAGAAUAUUUAACGUGAUCCAGACAGAAGAGCAUCAGAUACCGAGAAAGCUUCCCCUGGUACCUUUUCUGUACUAUAUGGAUAUACGCCACAGGUUUCAAAUCCAGAAUGGGUAUUAGAUUGAGUCGCAGAUUUCUGCCAAGCCUCCUUCAGCAAUGGUGCACACUGUGGUCUUAACAUUCUGCGACCUGUGUGAAAUCGUGACGAAACGCGCAUUUCUUUGAAGAAAAUGUGUUCCAGGAGCUUAAAGCUGCACCAAGGUUUUACCUCUACUAGAAUUGAAGCCAGGGACUACCACACCGCCUUUUCUUGACAUCUGUUACCAUACUGCCAAACUAGAGGAAAAAUUGGCAACUUCCCC